Molecule: ribosomal RNA, 494 nt
Filed under: uncultured bacterium
Lineage: Bacteria
Description: partial 16S ribosomal RNA
Rfam family: Bacterial small subunit ribosomal RNA
Source: RNAcentral
GACGAACGCUGGCGGCGUGCUUAACACAUGCAAGUCGAACGGAAAGGCCUGCUUUCCCUUGUGGAUUGCGGGUACUCGAGUGGCGAACGGGUGAGUAACACGUGAGUGAUCUGCCCCCAACUUGGGUAUAAGCCUGGGAAACUGGGUCUAAUUCCCGAUAGGACUGCAGGGCGGGGCCUGUGGUGGAAAACGAUUUUCUAGUGGUUGGGGAUGAGCUCGCGGCCUAUCAGCUUGUUGGUGGGGUAAUGGCCUACCAAGGCGGCGACGGGUAGCCGGCCUGGGAGGGUGGACGGCCACAUUGGGACUGAGAUACGGCCCAGACUCCUACGGGAGGCAGCAGUGGGGAAUAUUGCACCAUGGGCGGAAGCCUGAUGCAGCGACGCCGCGUGGGGGAUGCCGGCCUUCGGGUUGUAAACUCCUUUCGACCGCGAGGAAGCCACCUGGUUGGAAGGGUGGUGACGGUAGUGGUAGAAGAAGCACCGGCUAACUACGUG